GACGGACGCUGGCGGCGUGCCUAACACAUGCAAGUCGAACGGAGAUACGAUUUCGGUUGUAUCUUAGUGGCGAACGGGUGAGUAACGCGUGAGCAACCUGACUCUUAGAGGGGGAUAACACCUGGAAACAAGUGCUAAUACCGCAUAAGACCACGACCCGACAUCGGGAUGAGGUCAAAGGAGCAAUCCGCUGAGAGAGGGGCUCGCGUCCCAUUAGAUAGAUGGCGGGGUAACGGCCCACCAUGUCCGCGAUGGGUAGCCGAGCUGAGAGGCUGAUCGGCCACACUGGAACUGAGACACGGUCCAGACUCCUACGGGAGGCAGCAGUGGGGAAUAUUGGGCAAUGGGCGCAAGCCUGACCCAGCAACGCCGCGUGAGGGAAGAAGGCUUUCGGGUUGUAAACCUCUGUCCUUGGUGACGAAAAAAAUGACGGUAGCCAAGGAGGAAGCCCCGGCUAACUACGUG
Molecule: ribosomal RNA, 465 nt
Filed under: uncultured bacterium
Lineage: Bacteria
Description: bacterial SSU rRNA
Rfam family: Bacterial small subunit ribosomal RNA
Source: RNAcentral